This 72-nucleotide transfer RNA is filed under the name Armatimonadota bacterium. RNAcentral's name for it is "Armatimonadetes bacterium (glacier metagenome) tRNA-Val". It matches the Rfam family "tRNA". Rfam says of the family: Transfer RNA (tRNA) molecules are approximately 80 nucleotides in length. The record is from RNAcentral. Lineage: Bacteria; Bacillati; Armatimonadota.
GGACGAUUGGCUCAGGGGUAGAGCACUUCGUUGACACCGAAGAGGUCACUGGUUCAAAUCCAGUAUCGUCCA